This is a non-coding RNA of Lonchura striata (white-rumped munia), 337 nucleotides long. The record is from RefSeq and is a predicted model, not a curated record. Lineage: Eukaryota; Metazoa; Chordata; Aves; Passeriformes; Estrildidae.
CAGUGCUGGCCUUCAGGAGGUGCCCUUGGUGACAAAUGAAUGCCCAGAACUCCUGGCUGGAGCAGCGUGAGGUUUUGGUGCUUGCCCAACCUCAAAUACCAGAAGAAAGUCUCUGGUUGGUGUGGCCUUGGCUGUCAGAAUGUGGGGGUUUGUUGGCAAUAAUUCCUGUUCCAAGCCAAAAAAAGCACUCACGGAAGGAGGAAUCUGCACCCUGAACAUCUCCAGAGAGCCACCGGCACCAGGGCCAGCGCUGGCGUGUGAAGCACCAUCCUCAGCAUCUGAAGAGGGCACAGGGACACUCUCACUGUUAAUAAAGGGUUCUUUGGAAACCUCUCCA